UCCGCCAUAGGUAGCACCGCAGCCACUGCACUAGGUACGGUGGGCCCGGACCGAAGAAGCGACUGGUACGACGGCGAAUACGAGCAGUUAGUCGAAGAGAAGAAUGCAGCAUGGGCGAGAAUGCUGCAACACCGCACGAGGGCGAACGAGGCGCGAUAUAAACAGGCACGGAACAGGCAGAACUCGGUUUUCCGGACCAAAAAGCGCCAGCAGGAAGACCGAGAUCGCGAAGCGAUGGAGCAGCCAACGACACGACUAGACACUGGCAUUCCAAAACUGUAUCGAAAAUCCGACUACCCCCCAGUGACUCAGGUAACUGGUAAUGUCAAAUAUGACAUUUGGUAGAAAAUGCAUGAAACUAGCAGCACUUAUGAAUCUGUUAUUUUCUUUUAACAAUCUGCUCCUAUAGUUACCGUUGCUUCUCCUGGUUACUAUCACUCAUUUUUGAAUAAUAAAAAAAUACAGUCGACAAAUUCCGGAAAUUAUAGGGAUGAUAUCAAGGAGCGUAAUAAUUGUAUAUAGUGUCAUCAACGUUGGUCCAUCGUGUGUGAUACGGCGAAAGCUUCAAAGUUCUUUAUAGGUUUGGAAAUUUUCGAAUGGGAUUCAUCAUAACAGAUUGACAAAGUUCACGUACUAGCCAGUCGACAGGAACCUUUGUUUUUUUCAUGCACGACGUGGUGAUUGUAAGUCUUCUGAUUGAAUCUGGUUAAUGAACAGGUGCAGUAUUGUCCUAGCAGUGUGUCAGUAAAUCAGCCAAAAUCUCUUAUUUAGCGACUUAAAAAAAACAUAUUUUUACUAGAACGAUGUAUAUUGGUCGGGCGAUGGCUCCUCAAAAGGAAACCUGUGAUCCAUUCGUUUGUACGAAAAGGGGCUGUGGCUAGUGUUUAAAUGGGCGGCAGCGACUAAUGACAUGUAAAAUAUGAUGCUGAAAAUAUUGCCAUUGUACGGGACUAGGAAGUAGACUGAAACUAAAGCAAAGACAAUCCAGGCAUUCCGGUCUCUAUACUUAGUUUCGACGAAGCUGUCACGGAAGCGAUGUGCAAUUUUCAUCGUCAUUACUAUAAGGGCCAAGAUAGGCGCAGAUCUAAAAACAAAUGGAGGGAGCAGUAAUAAGAAUUUAAAUAAAAUUAGUAGAACAUUUGGUUUGAAAAUAAAACAAAUUGUAUUGUAUUAACUAUCA
This is a long non-coding RNA of Topomyia yanbarensis, 1180 nucleotides long. RefSeq lists it as uncharacterized. The transcript has 2 exons. The record is from RefSeq and is a predicted model, not a curated record. Lineage: Eukaryota; Metazoa; Arthropoda; Insecta; Diptera; Culicidae.